This 687-nucleotide ribosomal RNA is filed under the name uncultured bacterium. RNAcentral's name for it is "bacterial SSU rRNA". It matches the Rfam family "Bacterial small subunit ribosomal RNA", at positions 1 to 663 of the family's 1533-position model. The record is from RNAcentral.
GGCUUAGAGUUUGAUCAUGGCUCAGGACGAACGCUGGCGGCGUGCUUAACACAUGCAAGUCGAACGAGGCUUCAGAAGCUUGCUUUUGAAGCCGAGUGGCAAACGGGUGAGUAACGCGUAAACAACCUGCCUUCAGGAUGGGGACAACAGACGGAAACGACUGCUAAUACCGAAUACCUUCCGGAGACCGCAUGAUCUCCGGAAGAAAGGGUGGCCUCUACUUGUAAGCUAUCGCCUGAAGAGGGGUUUGCGUCUGAUUAGGCAGUUGGCGGGGUAACGGCCCACCAAACCGACGAUCAGUAGCCGGUCUGAGAGGAUGAACGGCCACACUGGAACUGAGACACGGUCCAGACUCCUACGGGAGGCAGCAGUGGGGAAUCUUCCGCAAUGGACGAGAGUCUGACGGAGCAACGCCGCGUGAGUGAUGACGGCCUUCGGGUUGUAAAGCUCUUUGAUCCGGGACGAAUGGUCCCUGUGCGAAUACCACAGGGAAGUGACGGUACCGGAAGAACAAGCCACGGCUAACUACGUGCCAGCAGCCGCGGUAAUACGUAGGUGGCAAGCGUUGUCCGGAAUUAUUGGGCGUAAAGCGCGCGCAGGCGGCCCCUUAAGUCCAUCUUAAAAGCGUGGGGCUUAACCCCAUGAUGGGAUGGAAACUGGAGAGCUGGAGUAUCGGAGAGGAAAGCG